UCCGGCUUAUCACCGGCGGUUUCUUUAGAGUGCCCAACUGAAUGGUAGCAACUAAAGACGAGGGUUGCGCUCGUUGCGGGACUUAACCCAACAUCUCACGACACGAGCUGACGACAGCCAUGCAGCACCUGUGCCGGCUCCCGAAGGAGCGCCGUGUUUCCACGGUUUCGCCCGGCAUGUCAAGCCCUGGUAAGGUUCUUCGCGUUGCGUCGAAUUGAGCCACAUGCUCCGCCGCUUGUGCGGGCCCCCGUCAAUUCCUUUGAGUUUCAGCCUUGCGGCCGUACUCCCCAGGCGGGGCACUUAUCGCGUUAGCUACGGCACUGACGGGGUCGCUCCCCCCAGCACCUAGUGCCCAUCGUUUACGGCGUGGACUAC
Molecule: unclassified non-coding RNA, 375 nt
Filed under: uncultured bacterium
Lineage: Bacteria
Description: contains 16S-23S intergenic spacer region
Source: RNAcentral